UAACACAUGCAAGUCGAAACGUGAAAGUCCUUCGGGAUGAGUAAAGUGGCGCACGGGUGAGUAACGCGUGGAUAAUCUACCCUUAAGAUGGGGAUAACGGCUGGAAACGGUCGCUAAUACCGAAUACGCUCCCGAUUUUAUCAUUGGGGGGAAAGAUGGCCUCUGCUUGCAAGCUAUCGCUUAAGGAUGAGUCCGCGUCCCAUUAGCUAGUUGGCGGGGUAACGGCCCACCAAGGCAACGAUGGGUAGCCGGUCUGAGAGGAUGACCGGCCACACUGGAACUGGAACACGGUCCAGACUCCUACGGGAGGCAGCAGUGGGGAAUAUUGCGCAAUGGGCGAAAGCCUGACGCAGCGACGCCGCGUGAGGGAUGAAGGUUCUCGGAUCGUAAACCUCUGUCAGGGGGGAAGAAACCCCCUCGUGUGAAUAAUGCGAGGGCUUGACGGUACCCCCAAAGGAAGCACCGGCUAACUCCGUGCCAGCAGCCGCGGUAAUACGGAGGGUGCAAGCGUUAAUCGGAAUCACUGGGCGUAAAGCGCACGUAGGCGGCUUGGUAAGUCAGGGGUGAAAUCCCACAGCCCAACUGUGGAACUGCCUUUGAUACUGCCAGGCUUGAGUACCGGAGAGGGUGGCGGAAUUCCAGGUGUAGGAGUGAAAUCCGUAGAUAUCUGGAGGAACACCGGUGGCGAAGGCGGCCACCUGGACGGUAACUGACGCUGAGGUGCGAAAGCGUGGGUAGCAAACAGG
This 746-nucleotide ribosomal RNA is filed under the name uncultured delta proteobacterium. Its description in RNAcentral is "bacterial SSU rRNA". It matches the Rfam family "Bacterial small subunit ribosomal RNA", at positions 49 to 776 of the family's 1533-position model. Lineage: Bacteria; Deltaproteobacteria. The record is from RNAcentral.